GGUCAAGUGACGAAGCGCAUCUGGUGAAUGCCUUGGCAGUUGAAGGCGAUGAAGGACGUUGCAAUCUGCGAUAAGCCUCGGGAAGUCGAUUAGCAGACUCUGAUCCGGGGAUUUCCGAAUGGGGAAACCCAGUGUCUUCGGACACUAUUACGUGCUGAAAGGAAGUGAUUCUUAUAGGUACGUAAAGCAAACCCGGCGAAUUGAAAUAUCUAAGUAACCGGAGGAAAAGAAAUCAACCGAGAUUCCCUUAGUAGUGACGAGCGAAAAGGGAGUAGCCCAUCAAGCUGCGGAAGCGUUAGUGGAAGCUUUCUGGAAAGAAGCACGACAAAGGGUGACAGUCCCGUACGCGAAAACGCCUCCGUAGUGACGUCGAGUAGGGCGGGACACGUGAAAUCCUGUCUGAAUAUAGGGGGACCAUCCUCUAAGGCUAAAUACUCUCAACUGACCGAUAGUGGACGAGUACCGUGAGGGAAAGGUGAAAAGUACCCCUGUUAGGGGAGUGAAACAGUACCUGAAACCGGAUGCGUACAAGCAGUGGGAGCGGCCGUUUCGACGGCUGUGACUGCGUACCUUUUGUAUAAUGGGUCAGCGACUUACUCUUGCUGGCGAGGUUAACCGUUUAGGGGAGCCGUAGGGAAACCGAGUCUGAACAGGGCGAUGCAGUCUGUAGGAGUAGACCCGAAACCGGGCGAUCUAACCAUGGGCAGGAUGAAGGUCAGGUAACACUGACUGGAGGUCCGAACCCACCUAUGUGGAAAAAUGGGGGGAUGACCUGUGGUUAGGAGUGAAAGGCUAAUCAAGCUCGGAGAUAGCUGGUUCUCCUCGAAAACUAUUUAGGUAGUGCCUCUUGUAUCACCUCCGGGGGUAGAGCACUGUUUGGGCUAGGGGGUCACCUAGACUUACCAACCCCAUGCAAACUCCGAAUACCGGCGAGUGCAGCAAGGGAGACAGACGGCGGGUGCUAAGGUCCGUCGUCGAAAGGGAAACAGCCCAGACCGCCAGCUAAGGUCCCUAAACCGUGAUUAAGUGGGAAACGAUGUGGGAAGGCAUAGACACCCAGGAGGUUGGCUUGGAAGCAGCCAUCCUUUAAAGAAAGCGUAACAGCUCACUGGUCAAGUCGGCCCGCGCGGAAGAUGUACCGGGUCUUAAAUCACGUACCGAAGCUGCGGGUUCGUGACGGUUCGCCGUCGCGAGCGGUAGAGGAGCGUUCUGUAAGCCGUUGAAGGCAGUUCGCGAGAGCUGCUCGAGGUAUCAGAAGUGAGAAUGCUGACAUGAGUAACGAUAAAGGGGGUGAGAAUCCUCCUCGCCGAAAGACCAAGGGUUCCUGUACAACGUUCAUCGACGCAGGGUGAGUCGGCCCCUAAGGCCAGGCCGAAAGGCGUAGCCGAUGGGAAGCUGGUUAAUAUUCCAGCACCGGCGUUUGUGGCAAUGGGGUGACGGAGAAGGCUAGGCGAUCCUGGAGUUGGUUUUCCAGGUUCAAGCAGGUAGGCUGGGAUUUCAGGCAAAUCCGGAAUCCCUCAAGGCCGAGACGUGAUGCCGAAAUGGAUCCAUCGUAUCCAUGAAGUCGUUGAUGCCACGCUUCCAAGAAAAACCUCUAAGCACUAAUCAAACGUUGACCGUACCCAAAACCGACACAGGUGGUCGGGUAGAGAAUACCAAGGCGCUUGAGAGAACUCGGGU
RNAcentral lists this ribosomal RNA (1680 nucleotides) under Gammaproteobacteria bacterium. Its description in RNAcentral is "partial 23S ribosomal RNA". It matches the Rfam family "Bacterial large subunit ribosomal RNA", at positions 1 to 1705 of the family's 2925-position model. The record is from RNAcentral. Lineage: Bacteria; Pseudomonadati; Pseudomonadota; Gammaproteobacteria.